Small nuclear RNA from Cavia porcellus (domestic guinea pig), 140 nucleotides. Its record names the gene U4. It matches the Rfam family "U4 spliceosomal RNA". Rfam says of the family: U4 small nuclear RNA (U4 snRNA) is a component of the major U2-dependent spliceosome. The structure of U4 snRNA from yeast and human has been reported. U4 snRNA presents a k-turn RNA motif in the 5p-SL related to recognition of Snu13 protein. NCBI's taxonomy places the organism in Eukaryota, Metazoa, Chordata, Mammalia, Rodentia, Caviidae. The record is from Ensembl.
AGCUUUCUGCAGUGGCAAUAACUUAACCAAUGAGGUUUGUCCCAAAUGCUAUUAUUGCUAAUUGGAAACUUUUCCAUGUGCUCUAUCAUGACAACUUGAUAUGUAGUUGGCAUUGGCAACUUUUCACAGUCUCUAUGGGA